AUUGAACGCUGGCGGCAUGCUUUACACAUGCAAGUCGAACGGUAACAGGCCGCAAGGUGCUGACGAGUGGCGAACGGGUGAGUAAUGCAUCGGAACGUGCCCAGUCGUGGGGGAUAACUACUCGAAAGAGUAGCUAAUACCGCAUACGAUCUAUGGAUGAAAGCGGGGGACCGUAAGGCCUCGCGCGAUUGGAGCGGCCGAUGUCAGAUUAGGUAGUUGGUGGGGUAAAGGCUCACCAAGCCAACGAUCUGUAGCUGGUCUGAGAGGACGACCAGCCACACUGGGACGGAGAACGGGCCCAAACUCCUACGGGAGGAAGGAGUGGGGAAUUUUGGACAAGGGGCGCAAGCCUGAUCCAGAAAUGCCGCGGGCAGGAAGAAGGCCUUCGGGUUGUAAACUGCUUUUGUACGGAACGAAACGGCUCUGGUUAAUACCCGGGGCUAAUGACGGUACCGUAAGAAUAAGCACCGGCUAACUACGU
Molecule: ribosomal RNA, 481 nt
Filed under: uncultured bacterium
Lineage: Bacteria
Description: partial 16S ribosomal RNA
Rfam family: Bacterial small subunit ribosomal RNA
Source: RNAcentral